UCCCCCACCCUCCUUCUGCCCCCAACUCGCCUCUUCCCGUCCCUCUCUGUCGCCACUAUAUACGAGUAAAAAGUUUCAACAAUCACUGAACUUCCGUUUGCUGCUAUAAUGUCACGUUGUGGUCACUGAACUUCCGUUUGCUGCUCAACGGUCACUGAACUUACAAACACCACUCCAUCCAUCACUCACCACAAAGUCGUUUGAAAUUGUCUGAUCUGGCCUUGACGGAAUUCCAUGUUGCAUUCAACGACGUCAAAAGUGAUACACGAUGGACUUGUUUAAGAUUACACAACUCUAACCCAUUCAAAAUUGAAAACCAAUUUCCCUAAUUCACUCUCCCAUGAACCCUAAUUCAAUCUCCCCCAAUUCAAAAUCCUGGAUCGAACAUAGAGUCACUUGCCAGAAGUUCUUCGUCUUCCAAUGUACACCAUCCCCAGCUGCAGAUGAUUAUCAACCGAUAAAAUCUGAACCCACGUCCAGUUACCUAAACGUUAAAAACUCGAAGAAGGAAACCAGAGGAGCCCAACCAACUGCGAACGGUGAAGAUUAGGAUAUUAUGUGGUGUCGAACAUAAUGAUUCGAAGAGGCUGAUUUUUGUAUCAAAAUCAAUAAAAGAUGCGACUCUGAUUGCAAAACAGUGGCAUUUUGCAUAUAGGAAAACUGUUGGGUUCCAGAAUGUGGAGGAUUUGGGUGAGUUCAAUGACAUUGAGGCAUGGACGAAGCAACAAAAAGUUUCCAAACUUAGCUUAUAAAAGAAAUCUACCAAGUGAUCACAUUACGUUGUAUUAAGCUUCAUGUUGCAUUUCAAUUCCAAGUAGUAAGGCAAAAACAAGGGAUAUAGAAUCAAGGAAGCUUAGGAAAGAUAUAUGUAGACACUGUGGGGAGAAGUUGUUGGGGUCUCGUCUUGAGGCAUGAACAAUAUGCUGUCCAAUGUGUGGUGCUACUACAAUACUUCAAAUACUACGACAGCUGGUCCCUCUUCUCGCACAUGGACGGGCGUUACCUACAAGGGACAUCGAUACUGAUGAAGAUUGUGAAAAAGGGUGUUAAUGUUUUUGUGGAUAAGGGUGUUGAUAACUUUGUAGUGUCAAAGUAAUGUACAUGUAUUUUUUAUGGUGUUUUCAGAUGUCAAACAACUAAAGUUUUUAGGCGAACACUCACUUUGAAUGCUGAUUUGUUUUUCCAUUGACUAAGUUCCUUUUUUGUGGCUUCUA
Long non-coding RNA from Olea europaea var. sylvestris, 1214 nucleotides. RefSeq lists it as uncharacterized. NCBI's taxonomy places the organism in Eukaryota, Viridiplantae, Streptophyta, Magnoliopsida, Lamiales, Oleaceae. The transcript has 3 exons. The record is from RefSeq and is a predicted model, not a curated record.